RNAcentral lists this ribosomal RNA (419 nucleotides) under uncultured Bifidobacterium sp. RNAcentral's name for it is "bacterial SSU rRNA". It matches the Rfam family "Bacterial small subunit ribosomal RNA", at positions 213 to 640 of the family's 1533-position model. The record is from RNAcentral. Lineage: Bacteria; Bacillati; Actinomycetota; Actinomycetes; Bifidobacteriales; Bifidobacteriaceae.
UAUCGGUAUGGGAUGGGGUCGCGUCCUAUCAGCUUGAUGGCGGGGUAACGGCCCACCAUGGCUUCGACGGGUAGCCGGCCUGAGAGGGCGACCGGCCACAUUGGGACUGAGAUACGGCCCAGACUCCUACGGGAGGCAGCAGUGGGGAAUAUUGCACAAUGGGCGCAAGCCUGAUGCAGCGACGCCGCGUGCGGGAUGACGGCCUUCGGGUUGUAAACCGCUUUUGACUGGGAGCAAGCCCUUCGGGGUGAGUGUACCUUUCGAAUAAGCACCGGCUAACUACGUGCCAGCAGCCGCGGUAAUACGUAGGGUGCAAGCGUUAUCCGGAAUUAUUGGGCGUAAAGGGCUCGUAGGCGGCUCGUCGCGUCCGGUGUGAAAGUCCAUCGCUUAACGGUGGAUCCGCGCCGGGUACGGGCGGG